GUGUCAGCAGCCGCGGUAAUACGUAGGGUGCAAGCGUUAAUCGGAAUUACUGGGCGUAAAGCGUGCGCAGGCGGCUUUGCAAGACAGAUGUGAAAUCCCCGGGCUCAACCUGGGAACUGCAUUUGUGACUGCAUGGCUAGAGUGCGGCAGAGGGGGAUGGAAUUCCGCGUGUAGCAGUGAAAUGCGUAGAUAUGCGGAGGAACACCGAUGGCGAAGGCAAUCCCCUGGGCCUGCACUGACGCUCAUGCACGAAAGCGUGGGGAGCAAACAGGAUUAGAAACCCCGGUAGUCC
RNAcentral lists this ribosomal RNA (292 nucleotides) under uncultured Comamonadaceae bacterium. Its description in RNAcentral is "partial 16S ribosomal RNA". It matches the Rfam family "Bacterial small subunit ribosomal RNA", at positions 505 to 796 of the family's 1533-position model. The record is from RNAcentral. Lineage: Bacteria; Pseudomonadati; Pseudomonadota; Betaproteobacteria; Burkholderiales; Comamonadaceae.